ACGGAAGGCAGCAGUGAGGAAUAUUGGUCAAUGGACGCAAGUCUGAACCAGCCAUGCCGCGUGCAGGAAUAAGGCCCUAUGGGUCGUAAACUGCUUUUGUGGUGGAGCAAUAAGUCGUACGUGUACGGCGAUGGGAGUACAUCACGAAUAAGCAUCGGCUAACUCCGUGCCAGCAGCCGCGGUAAUACGGAGGAUGCAAGCGUUAUCCGGAUUUAUUGGGUUUAAAGGGUGCGUAGGCUGUGGUCCAAGUCAGGGGUGAAAGCCCGGAGCUCAACUCCGGAACUGCCUUUGAUACUGGAUUGCUGGAAUACGGAUGCCGUGGGAGGAAUGAGUAGUGUAGCGGUGAAAUGCAUAGAUAUUACUCAGAACACCGAUUGCGAAGGCAUCUCACGAAUCCGUCAUUGACGCUGAGGCACGAAAGCGUGGGGAUCAAACAGGAUUAGAUACCCUGGUA
Molecule: ribosomal RNA, 454 nt
Filed under: uncultured Rikenellaceae bacterium
Lineage: Bacteria; Pseudomonadati; Bacteroidota; Bacteroidia; Bacteroidales; Rikenellaceae
Description: partial 16S ribosomal RNA
Rfam family: Bacterial small subunit ribosomal RNA
Source: RNAcentral